Molecule: ribosomal RNA, 497 nt
Filed under: uncultured bacterium
Lineage: Bacteria
Description: partial 16S ribosomal RNA
Rfam family: Bacterial small subunit ribosomal RNA
Source: RNAcentral
GAUGAACGCUGGCGGCGUGCCUAAUACAUGCAAGUAGAACGCUGAAGGAAGGAGCUUGCUCUUUCCGGAUGAGUUGCGAACGGGUGAGUAACGCGUAGGUAACCUGCCUGGUAGCGGGGGAUAACUAUGGGAAACGAUAGCUAAUACCGCAUAACAGUAGAUGUUGCAUGAUAUCUACUUAAAAGGUGCAAUUGCACCACUACCAGAUGGACCUGCGUUGUAUUAGCUAGUUGGUGAGGUAACGGCUCACCAAGGCGACGAUACAUAGCCGACCUGAGGGGGUGAUCGGCCACACUGGGACUGGGACCCGGCCCCGGAUCCUAAGGGAGGCAGCAGUAGGGAAUCUUCGGCAAUGGGCGGAAGUCUGACCGAGCAACGCCGCGUGAGUGAAGAAGGUUGUCGGAUCGUAAAGCUCUGUUGUAAGAGAAGAACGAGUGUGAGAGUGGAAAGUUCACACUGUGACGGUAUCUUACCAGAAAGGGACGGCUAACUACGUG